Small nuclear RNA from Selaginella moellendorffii, 161 nucleotides. It matches the Rfam family "U1 spliceosomal RNA". From Rfam's summary of the family: U1 is a small nuclear RNA (snRNA) component of the spliceosome (involved in pre-mRNA splicing). Its 5' end forms complementary base pairs with the 5' splice junction, thus defining the 5' donor site of an intron. The record is from Rfam. NCBI's taxonomy places the organism in Eukaryota, Viridiplantae, Streptophyta, Lycopodiopsida, Selaginellales, Selaginellaceae.
AUACUUACCUGACAGGGUUUAUUGGUGAUCCUGAAGGCCAAUGGCCCAGGUUUGGCCUUCCCAUUGCACUCUGGCUUGGCUGGCCUACCUUCUUCCCAAAGUGGAGGAGUGGACGUCGUGAAUUUCUGGAAGUUGAGGGCUCGUGUACGCGCGGCCCUCUC